AAUACGUUCCCGGGCCUUGUACACACCGCCCGUCACACCACGAAAGUCGGUAACACCCGAAAGCCGGUGGCCCAACCCGUAAGGGAGGGAGCCGUCGAAGGUGGGAUCGGUGAUUGGGGUG
This 121-nucleotide ribosomal RNA is filed under the name uncultured bacterium. Its description in RNAcentral is "partial 16S ribosomal RNA". It matches the Rfam family "Bacterial small subunit ribosomal RNA", at positions 1365 to 1482 of the family's 1533-position model. The record is from RNAcentral.